Molecule: transfer-messenger RNA, 357 nt
Filed under: Acidobacteriota bacterium
Lineage: Bacteria; Pseudomonadati; Acidobacteriota
Description: Acidobacteria bacterium transfer-messenger RNA
Rfam family: transfer-messenger RNA
About the family: Bacterial tmRNA, also known as 10Sa RNA or SsrA, is named for its dual tRNA and mRNA-like properties. Its role is to liberate the mRNA from a stalled ribosome.
Source: RNAcentral
GGGGGCGACAGGCUUCGACGGGAGUAGUUGAGUCAGUAGGUGCAUGCCGAGGUGCCUCACCCUCGUAAAACAGUGGCAAAAUCAUAACUGCCAACGAACAGUUAGCACUCGCUGCGUAAUUUGACGUAGCCGUCUUGACUAGUCUCGCCCGCAGGGCGGUCAAGGCGUCGUUAAUGCGGGAUAUGCGGUGUUCCAACCUCCUUCACGGGAACACCGGGAAUCGUUGUGAGGGGCUUGCGGCGGGUUAGUUUGCUGGUUUCAAAUGCCCGGCGGAAGUAAAAAGCGAAACCGGCUAAGCGUGUAGAUCCGGCUGGCGAAGACUUUCGGACGUGGGUUCGAUUCCCACCGCCUCCACCA